RNAcentral lists this ribosomal RNA (253 nucleotides) under uncultured prokaryote. RNAcentral's name for it is "partial 16S ribosomal RNA". It matches the Rfam family "Bacterial small subunit ribosomal RNA", at positions 525 to 777 of the family's 1533-position model. The record is from RNAcentral.
ACGAAGGUGGCAAGCGUUGUUCGGAUUUACUGGGCGUAAAGGGAGCGUAGGUGGUUAGGUAAGCCCUCCGGGAAAUCUUCAGGCUUAACCUGAAAAGGUCGGGGGGGACUGCCUAGCUAGAGGGCGGGAGAGGAGCGCGGAAUUCCCGGUGUAGCGGUGAAAUGCGUAGAGAUCGGGAGGAAGGCCGGUGGCGAAGGCGGCGCUCUGGAACGUUUCUGACACUGAGGCUCGAAAGCGUGGGGAGCAAACAGGA